This 56-nucleotide transfer RNA is filed under the name Salmo salar (Atlantic salmon). It matches the Rfam family "tRNA", at positions 10 to 63 of the family's 71-position model. Rfam says of the family: Transfer RNA (tRNA) molecules are approximately 80 nucleotides in length. Their secondary structure includes four short double-helical elements and three loops (D, anti-codon, and T loops). Further hydrogen bonds mediate the characteristic L-shaped molecular structure. tRNAs have two regions of fundamental functional importance: the anti-codon, which is responsible for specific mRNA codon recognition, and the 3' end, to which the tRNAs corresponding amino acid is attached (by aminoacyl-tRNA synthetases). tRNAs cope with the degeneracy of the genetic code in two manners: having more than one tRNA (with a specific anti-codon) for a particular amino acid; and 'wobble' base-pairing, i.e. permitting non-standard base-pairing at the 3rd anti-codon position. The record is from Rfam by way of RNAcentral. Lineage: Eukaryota; Metazoa; Chordata; Actinopteri; Salmoniformes; Salmonidae.
GCUCAGUUGGUAGAGCAUGGUGUUUGCAACACCAGGGUUGUGGGUUCGAGUCCCAC